Molecule: ribosomal RNA, 393 nt
Filed under: uncultured bacterium
Lineage: Bacteria
Description: bacterial SSU rRNA
Rfam family: Bacterial small subunit ribosomal RNA
Source: RNAcentral
UAUUGGACAAUGGGCGAAAGCCUGAUCCAGCCAUGCCGCGUGAGUGAUGAAGGCCCUAGGGUUGUAAAGCUCUUUCACCGGUGAAGAUUAUGACGGUAGCAGAUGAAUAAGGAUCGGCUAACUCCGUUCCAGCAGCCGCGGUCAUACGGAGGAUCCAAGCGUUAUCCGGAAUUACUGGGCGUAAAGAGUUGCGUAGGUGGCAGAGUAAGUAGAUAGUGAAAGCAUGGGGCUCAACCCCAUAUCCAUUAUCUAAACUGCUUAGCUAGAGGACGAGAGAGGUAGAUGGAAUUUCCAGUGUAGGAGUGAAAUCCGUAGAUAUUGGAAGGAACACCGAUGGCGUAGGCAGUCUACUGGCUCGUUCCUGACACUAAGGCACGAAAGCGUGGGGAGCAA